Small nucleolar RNA from Erinaceus europaeus (western European hedgehog), 127 nucleotides. NCBI's taxonomy places the organism in Eukaryota, Metazoa, Chordata, Mammalia, Eulipotyphla, Erinaceidae. The record is from Ensembl.
GCCGAGGCCAGAGUCUCGCCCAGGCAUGGUGUUGCCCCGGCGUGCUGGGGUCCUCGGAGAGCAGCCGCUGGCCGUAUUCGCCGGCCGUGGCCCCAUGGCCAGGCUGGUCUCUAGGCCAGGGACAGGC